GGUAGCCUGGCUCUCUGCAGGAGAGUUCAAACUUCCCCGUUCGUCCACAUUAUCCUUUAAGAAGGGUGGGUGGGCAAAUCUUCUUGUGCAACAGCCCCGGACAGUCCACCCCCGACACCCACCAACCAACCCACAACCGCCCCUGCCAGCAGCGGCUGCACAACCACCCCUCCUUGCGCAUGAUCGUCUCCUCAAACACAUGCAACAGUGUCCUCCCCAAAAACCAGAAAGCCCCCCCUCCCUCAGGGAGAGAUCCCGGGUGGGUGCGCACGCCAGCCAAAGCACCGUGUCAGGGGGAGCCAAGCCGGCAGGAGGCAGACGGAGGAAGCCCCUCCUCCCCGUGUGGCUUGAAGACGGGGAGUGAGCGGGAUAUUCCCAAACAGCUGGAAAAGAAGGAGCUGCCCGGCCCUCCCCAAAAAGAGUGUCAACCUUUCUCCUCUCCAGUUGUGCGUCUUUUGAGAGGGGGGGGGGGGGGGGCUAUUCCAAAUCAAUCAGCAAGAGAAGGAAAUGUCUAAGCGUUCUGUUGCUGCGCAGCUCUCGGCAAGGUGUUCCUUCCACCGCGUUGUGACUGUCAAGGCGCCAGGAAAGGUUUCAUCCCUGUCGGGUUCAUCUCGCCCUCGUUCCCUCCCCUGUACCAAAUUGUAGCGGAUGCAGGGCGACCUCUUGUGGCCAAGCGUCAUCAUUGCUCAGCUGUCAAAAAAGCUGGACGUUUUGAGUGGUCACGUGUAGUUUGCUGUCACUCAGCCUAAAGUUAGCAACAAAAAUGCUUUUUGAUUGUUUUGGUUUUUAACGAUUCUAAUGUUUAACUGUUAGCAUCUUUAUUCUCGCUGCUAUGCUGUCAUUCAGGACGGGCCAAAAAAUAGGUCCAGCGGUGCCAUUAUUUUAGUUUAGUUUAUUAGAUGCUCUUGGAUUGAAAUAGUGACCGGAAGUGACGUGCACGCUCCUAAACGGGCUUGAUGCGAAGCCACAAGCGUUAACGACAGAAACAAACAAUCGGGUGGUAUUUAGUAAAUGAAAUGACAUUAUUCGCAAGUUCUGAAACCAAUUGGACGCAUGUUCUUCAACGUAUCGACCACCGCGUUAAGAUUUGUUCUGUGUUGUGGCUGUGCAGGGUGCCCGGCUGCAAGCAGCCCCCUCAAUGGUCUCUCCCACCAUCAAGGCAUUGGUGGAUGCGGUGUGGGCGGUGUGGAGCAUCGGGGCCUCCAUCUAUGACUACAUCCAUACCAGUGCCAUGGAGGAGCGCAUACACGCCCUGGAGAAGGUCAUCAGCGUCCACCAGUUUGCCAUUGGGCUACUGUUGGCGGCCAUGUUGGUGCUCUUCACUUACAUCUUCGUCAAGAAGGUUUGAGAGUCAAGCAGAUUGAAGGGAUUCCAAUUGUGUAGAAAGGUGAAAUUGUAAUAAUCUCACGUUUGGGAGCAAAUAAGAUGCUGAGUAGAUUGAUUCUUGAUUGGAUAUUGCUUUGAUUUCUUAUUACUGCUACAGAUACAUAACUUUCUAAUUCUAUCAUUUCAAAAGGGAUCAGUAUUGAAAUACAUUGUUGCCAUUUUGUCUGCCUUGUUAGUUUUUCUGCUAACUUUGUAUAAUAUUUUUUCUGAGAUUUUUUUUAACUUUACCUUUGAAUGAGUCGGAUGGAUUUAGAAACCAGAAUGAUUCCGCCCACCUGAUGACAUUCAUUUCUGGAUUGAAUCAAUUAAAAUAGGAUUUACCAAAAUGUGUAAGUACGACUUGGACUGACAUUGGAAUUCAAAGAUGCUAUUCCAAAACAAAUGUAAUAUUUUUAUUUGAAGUGUGUCUAAACAGGAAAUUACACAGACAUAAAUUUGCCACAUAACUUUAAUACAAGGCGUAAUUGCAACUGGAAACAUCUCCCUCUAAAUCUCUGGAAAACAUUUGGAAUCUGGUCAGCAAAUUUGGUAAAACAUGGUGAAACCAAGCCAUCUGUCCAAUGACGACUGUGGAAAACCAACCUAAAUCUUCAUAAGCCCCCUCAGGCUGAGCAACUCCUGAUUUAAAGAACACGCAACCUCUGCUUUUUCAAAUUGUACUCAGAGGUGCCCAGUCUGCAGGAGCGUAUAUUUGGAGAUGAACCUCUCCACACUUUCGCCUUCCAGAAACUUCAUGGCUCUCCAGUGGAUCUUGCUGCAGUUCUCUGGCUGGCCAAGGGGACCCAUCUCCUCCUGGAUGUACUCCAGCCACAGAUCUUGACAAACAGGUCAGGUUGAAGUUUAUUGUCAAACUAAACUCAAAUUUACUGUCAAACUAAACUCAAAUUAAACAUAAAAGAGGAGAAUUAUAUUUUGUGAUUUUAAUCAGAGCCAACUAAGUCUUAUGAAUGUUUAGAUAAUGUAAAAUUUCAUACAGGCCAACAAAACUAGCAUCACUGUUGUGGUUCUAAACUGUAAACUUGUACUUGACCACAGCAGACGCAUAAAUAUACUCACAGGCAUAUUUUUGUUAUCCU
Long non-coding RNA from Syngnathus typhle (broad-nosed pipefish), 2462 nucleotides. RefSeq lists it as uncharacterized. The record is from RefSeq and is a predicted model, not a curated record. Lineage: Eukaryota; Metazoa; Chordata; Actinopteri; Syngnathiformes; Syngnathidae. The transcript is spliced from 2 exons.